GUACACUCCUACGGGAGGCAGCAGUGGGGAAUUUUGGACAAUGGGCGAAAGCCUGAUCCAGCAAUGCCGCGUGAGUGAAGAAGGCCUUCGGGUUGUAAAGCUCUUUUGUCAGGGAAGAAACGGUGAAAGCUAAUAUCUUUUGCUAAUGACGGUACCUGAAGAAUAAGCACCGGCUAACUACGUGCCAGCAGCCGCGGUAAUACGUAGGGUGCAAGCGUUAAUCGGAAUUACUGGGCGUAAAGCGUGCGCAGGCGGUUUUGUAAGUCUGAUGUGAAAUCCCCGGGCUCAACCUGGGAAUUGCAUUGGAGACUGCAAGGCUAGAAUCUGGCAGAGGGGGGUAGAAUUCCACGUGUAGCAGUGAAAUGCGUAGAUAUGUGGAGGAACACCGAUGGCGAAGGCAGCCCCCUGGGUCAAGAUUGACGCUCAUGCACGAAAGCGUGGGGAGCAAACAGGAUUAGAUACCCGGGUAGUCCCA
Molecule: ribosomal RNA, 475 nt
Filed under: uncultured organism
Description: partial 16S ribosomal RNA
Rfam family: Bacterial small subunit ribosomal RNA
Source: RNAcentral